AGAGUUUGAUCCUGGCUCAGAACGAACGCUGGCGGCGUGCCUAAGACAUGCAAGUCGUACGAGAACGCCACCUUCGGGUGGUUAUUAGAGUGGCAAACGGGUGAGUAACGCGUGGGUAACCUGCCUUAAGGUCUGGGAUAACUCCGGGAAACUGGGGCUAAUACCAGAUAAGACCACGAGUUCUUCGGAACAUGUGGGAAAAGAUGGCCUCUUCUUGAAAGCUAUCGCCAUGAGAUGAGCCCGCGUCCCAUUAGCUUGUUGGUGAGGUAACAGCUCACCAAGGCUCCGAUGGGUAGCUGGUCUGAGAGGACGAUCAGCCACACUGGAACUGAGACACGGUCCAGACUCCUACGGGAGGCAGCAGUCGGGAAUUUUGGGCAAUGGGCGCAAGCCUGACCCAGCGACGCCGCGUGAGCGAUGAAGGCCCUCGGGUCGUAAAGCUCUGUCGGAAGGGAAGAUGGGAGCGAAGGCAAAUAGCUUAGCUUUUGACGGUACCUUCAAAGGAAGCGCCGGCUAACUCCGUGCCAGCAGCCGCGGUAAUACGGAGGGCGCAAGCGUUGUUCGGAAUCACUGGGCGUAAAGCGCGUGUAGGCGGUUAGGACAGUCGGAUGUGAAAUCCCAAGGCUCAACCUUGGAACUGCAUUCGAAACUGCCUAGCUAGAGUCUCGGAGAGGGUGGCGGAAUUCCCGGUGUAGGGGUGAAAUCCGUGAUAUCCAGAGGAACACCGGUGGCGAAGGCGGCCACCUGGACGAUUACUGACGCUGAGACGCGAAAGUGUGGGGAGCAAACAGGAUUAGAUACCCUGGUAGUCCACACCGUAAACGAUGAGCGCUAGGUGUCGCGGGUAUUGACCCCUGCUGUUCCGUAGCUAACGCAUUAAGCGCUCCGCCUGGGGAGUACGGCCGCAAGGCUAAAACUCAAAGGAAUUGACGGGGGCCCGCACAAGCGGUGGAGCAUGUGGUUUAAUUCGACGCAACGCGCAGAACCUUACCUGGGCUAGAAAAGGCAGGAAUCUGGGUGAAAACUCGGAGUGUCCUUCGGGAAAUCUGUCGUUAGGUGCGUGCAUGGCUGUCGUCAGCUCGUGUCGUGAGCUGUUGGGUUAAGUCCCGCAACGAGCGCAACCCUUGUUUUUAGUUGCUUUAUGGAACUCUAAAAAGACCGCCGGUUAUAAACCGGAGGAAGGCGGGGAUGACGUCAAGUCAGCAUGCCCCUUACACCCUGGGCUACACACGUGCUACAUUGGGCGAGACAAUGAGAUGCAAACCUGCAAAGGAUAGCGAAUCUAUAAACUCGUUCUAAGUUCGGAUUGUAGGCUGCAACUCGCCUACAUGAAGGUGGAAUCGCUAGUAAUCGCUGGUCAACUAUACAGCGGUGAAUUCGUUCCCGGGCCUUGUACACACCGCCCGUCACACCAUGGAAGCUGGUUAUGCCCGAAGUCAUUACUCUAACCAUUUGGGGGAGGGUGUUAGUGACUGGGGUGAAGUCGUAACAAGGUAACC
This 1499-nucleotide ribosomal RNA is filed under the name uncultured prokaryote. RNAcentral's name for it is "partial 16S ribosomal RNA". It matches the Rfam family "Bacterial small subunit ribosomal RNA". The record is from RNAcentral.